CUACAAAGGAAUUGACGGGGACCCGCACAAGCGGUGGAGUAUGUGGCUUAAUUCGAUGCAACGCGAAGAACCUUACCUAGGCUUGACAUGGAUUUCUAAGCACGUGAAAGCGUGUGACCCUUCGGGGGACUUUCCACAGGUGCUGCAUGGCCGUCGUCAGCUCGUGUCGUGAAAUGUUGGGUUAAGUCCCGCAACGAGCGCAACCCUUAUCCUUUGUUGCCAGCGGUCCGGCCGGGAACUCAAAGGAGACUGCCAGUGAUAAACUGGAGGAAGGUGGGGAUGACGUCAAGUCAUCAUGGCCCUUACGACCAGGGCUACACACGUGCUACAAUGGCGCAUACAAAGAGAAGCGACCUCGCGAGAGCAAGCGGACCUCAUAAAGUGCGUCGUAGUCCGGAUUGGAGUCUGCAACUCGACUCCAUGAAGUCGGAAUCGCUAGUAAUCGUGGAUCAGAAUGCCACGGUGAAUACGUUCCCGGGCCUU
RNAcentral lists this ribosomal RNA (483 nucleotides) under uncultured Enterobacteriaceae bacterium. Its description in RNAcentral is "bacterial SSU rRNA". It matches the Rfam family "Bacterial small subunit ribosomal RNA", at positions 903 to 1382 of the family's 1533-position model. The record is from RNAcentral. Lineage: Bacteria; Pseudomonadati; Pseudomonadota; Gammaproteobacteria; Enterobacterales; Enterobacteriaceae.